AUGGCUCAGGAUGAACGCUGGCGGCGUGCUUAACACAUGCAAGUCGAACGGAGUUUUUAAACGGAAGUUUUCGGAUGGAAGUUUAAGAACUUAGUGGCGGACGGGUGAGUAACGCGUGGGUAACCUGCCUCAUACAGGGGGAUAACAGUUAGAAAUGACUGCUAACACCGCAUAAUAUAGCGAAACCGCAUGAUUUUGCUAUCAAAUAUUUAUAGGUAUGAGAUGGGCCCGCGUCUGAUUAGCUAGUUGGUGGGGUAAAAGCCUACCAAGGCGACGAUCAGUAGCCGGCUUGAGAGAGUGACCGGCCACAUUGGGACUGAGACACGGCCCAAACUCCUACGGGAGGCAGCAGUGGGGAAUAUUGGACAAUGGGGGAAACCCUGAUCCAGCGAACCGCCGCGUGAGUGAAGAAGUAUUUCGGUAUGUAAAGCUCUAUCAGCAGGGAAGAUAAUGACAGUACCUGACUAAGAAGCCCCGGCUAACUACGUGCCAGCAGCCGC
Molecule: ribosomal RNA, 500 nt
Filed under: uncultured bacterium
Lineage: Bacteria
Description: bacterial SSU rRNA
Rfam family: Bacterial small subunit ribosomal RNA
Source: RNAcentral